Molecule: ribosomal RNA, 651 nt
Filed under: Elaterinae sp. UPOL RK0203
Lineage: Eukaryota; Metazoa; Arthropoda; Insecta; Coleoptera; Elateridae
Description: eukaryotic LSU rRNA
Rfam family: Eukaryotic large subunit ribosomal RNA
Source: RNAcentral
GGAGUCCAGCAUGUGCGCGAGUCAUUGGGAAGCACUAGCUAAACCUAAAGGCGAAAUGAAAGUGAAGGCGCGCCCCGCGCGCGCCAAGGGAGGAUGGGCGGUCUCCCGAGGCCUCGAGCCGAGGGCCGUUUCCGCCCCGCACUCCCGGGGCGUCUCGUUCUCAUCGCGAGAAGAGGCGCACCAAGAGCGUACACGCUGGGACCCGAAAGAUGGUGAACUAUGCCUGGUCAGGACGAAGUCAGGGGAAACCCUGAUGGAGGUCCGUAGCGAUUCUGACGUGCAAAUCGAUCGUCGGAACUGGGUAUAGGGGCGAAAGACUAAUCGAACCAUCUAGUAGCUGGUUCCCUCCGAAGUUUCCCUCAGGAUAGCUGGCGCUCGACGCGCGAGUCUCAUCCGGUAAAGCGAAUGAUUAGAGGCAUUGGGGUCGAAACGGCCUCAACCUAUUCUCAAACUUUAAAUGGGUGAGAUCUCCGGCUUGCUCGAAGACGUGAAGCCGCGAGAUCGGAUCAGAGUGCCAAGUGGGCCAAUUUUGGUAAGCAGAACUGGCGCUGUGGGAUGAACCAAACGCGGAGUUAAAGCGCCUAAAUCGACGCUUAUGGGAUACCAUGAAAGGCGUUGGUAACUUAAGACAGCAGGACGGUGGCCAUGGAA